CCUACGGGUGGCAGCAGUGGGGAAUAUUGCACAAUGGGGGGAACCUUGAUGCAGCAACGCCGCGUGGGUGAUGAAGUAUUUCGGUAUGUAAAGUUCUGUCAGCAGGGAAGAAAAUGACGGUACCUGACUAAGAAGCCCCGGCUAACUACGUGCCAGCAGCCGCGGUAAUACGUAGGGGGCAAGCGUUAUCCGGAUUUACUGGGUGUAAAGGGAGCGUAGACGGCAGGGCAAGUCUGAAGUGAAAGCCCGGGGCCCAACCCCGGGACUGCAUUGGAAACUGUGGAACUGGAGUGCAGGAGGGGUAAGCGGAAUUCCAAGUGUAGCGGUGAAAUGCGUAGAUAUAGGGAAGAACACCAGUGGCGAAAGCGGCUUACUGGACUGUAACUGACGUUGAGGCUCGAAGGCGUGGGGAGCAAACAGGAUUAGAUACCCGUGUAGUC
RNAcentral lists this ribosomal RNA (440 nucleotides) under uncultured bacterium. RNAcentral's name for it is "partial 16S ribosomal RNA". It matches the Rfam family "Bacterial small subunit ribosomal RNA", at positions 338 to 795 of the family's 1533-position model. The record is from RNAcentral.